RNAcentral lists this long non-coding RNA (2899 nucleotides) under Aquila chrysaetos chrysaetos. RNAcentral's name for it is "lncRNA (ENSACCG00020008902.1)". Lineage: Eukaryota; Metazoa; Chordata; Aves; Accipitriformes; Accipitridae. The record is from RNAcentral.
GUUGUAGUUUAUAUGUGCUAUACGCGUGUUUGCAACAGUGCAGGCAGGUUUAUGAUGCACCUGCUUUUGCUUUUUCCUUAGGGAACAAUGUUUUUUACCUUCUUUCAAGUAGAACUCUACAGUGACAGAAGCUACACUCCUAACCUCCUGGGAAGCAAAUACAAAAGAGUAACAGAAGUGUCUGCAUCCUGAUUGUGUUCAAUCAAGCUACCCUACUUUCUGAUUUAUGUUAAUAAAGCUUUUGGAGAUUCCUAAGUGGAAUCAUUCUGUGCCUUCUGCAUAGAUCCUAGCUGAAGAAAUGCUUGCUGAGUGCUUUGCCACCUGAAAAUGUGGGGUGGGAAGGGAGAAAUCCUGUCUGGUCAACAAUUAUGUCAGUUUGGCUAAACACAUACAUUGCUGCCAGUGGCGACGCAACUCUCUGCCAGCACAGGCUUCAGCCAUUGCGCCUGCCGGGUGCCGUGACUCACUCCUGGUUCUCUCUGCAUGGAUCUGCUGCUGUGGAGCAUGUGCAGCAUAGGUGCCAUCUCCCCACCCAGCUACCAAGGUCUUCCAGGAAGCUCAAAACCAGUUUUAUCAGUUUCCUUCCAACUGGUGUAAGACUAAGACGGACAAUUUUACAACAAAAGGGGAUUUCUUGACAAUACUACAGCAGGAUGAUGAGAAGAAUCUUUUUCUCAUUAAACUAGGGCAGAGGACUGCAGUGGCACUUGUCUUAAAAGGUACUGUUACUAGCCUGCCUCUAGCCAUAGACUUCUCAUCUGUUGUUCUGCAACACCUGCUAAAUUCUUGGAAUUUCUCAGCAGUUUGUAGAUGGAGUCAAGAUCUCUGGGGUCCAAUGCCUAGUAUGUGACCUACAAGUGUAUUUCUGCUGCCUGUGGUAGAUACAAAGAAAGCAAGCAAGUUCUGUUUUAUUCCACUAGGAGGAAAAUCAGUAAAUGUUAUAUUAUCUAGCCCUUUAUGUGGGACUUUCUAAUGUGUUCUUUGGAGAGGACUGAAUCCUGCUUUCAGUUACACAUGGUAUGCUGAAGGUAUUGAUUUGCGACUUUAUUACCAGUCUUUAUUAUAAUUCUCUAUUUUGGGUGCUGUCUUUGCUCAGGAUCAAAACCAGAAUGUGUCUGUUUUUCUUAAUUGAACUUCUUACUGUUAUUUGUCUAUUUUACACCCACAACAUUCAAAACACUAGCUAUUUCAUGUGUGCUACCGUUAAUAUAUAAUGGAUGAGACCUUGGUACAAUUAAAAAAUACAGAAUGUAGCUGAGAUGAGACAGAGAUAUGAAAUGCAACUUAGUGAUUGUCUAAAAUAUAGCCAUGAUUCCAGCUUAAAAUCUAACAUUGUGUGACCAGUUGCUAUGUUUCAUUUGAAUCUUGUAUAAAAAGAAACUUGGAAAAUGCAAAAUAUUUCCUGUAUUCACAAAACUGCUAGUGCUUCUUUUCUCCAGUGGAAGUCACCUCCCUGUGUCUUUAACAGUGAGAUACACCCUCAGUAAUCUCAGUGAGAUACCUACCUCAGGAGGUAGCAGUAAUUCCCAGUAGUAUCAUUUGGCUUUUGUUUUCUUGUGGAAUUCAAUGCCAUUUUCAUUCAGCCUUUUUCUUCAUCUGAAGACCCUUAAGUUUCAGUCAUUGCUGUUAAUUCAGAAGAUACGGCUAUGUGAGUUGUGGUGAAAUUAAAUUUCCAUACAAAAUGCACAUUUUGUAUAUAAAAUAUACUUGUGGGUUUCUCUAAUGAAUGUGCCAAUGCCAUGAAGGGCCCACAACAGCUUCCCAGUCAGUGGCUACUAUUAUGUAGCGUUUAUUUUAUACACAAUUAUAGCGCCUCUUGUAAAGAGCAUCUCUAAUAUGACAUUUUUAAUAUAACAUAAUAGUUUUCUUUACCACAAUUCCUAAGACCCUAGCUCAAAAUUGAUAUAACAAAUAUUGUUCUGACCCACAGGAACCAAGUAAAAGUUUUGCCACUAACUUCACUCAAGACACGAUCUCAUCAUAAAGAAAUUUCAUAGAUCUGCAGCUAUUGUGCAUACCAGUUCAGGUAGAUCUGUUGACACUUUGAUCAGUUUAAUAUCAAGUAUUGUUGGGCUGUUUUUUCUAGGACCUUCUUCGUAUUUGUGGUUUUACUCUUCCAGAUAGGAAAAUGUGGAAUCUUUUGGCAAAACGAAAAGGAAGGAGAAAAUCCUGCAGCUUAAGUAUGUCUGGGCAUUGCUGCAUUGUCAGACUCGCUUUUUAAAAUUAGUUUUUCAGUUCUCAGAAGUGCUUUAGUAAAAGAUUAAUGUUGGUGUUCAGCAAUCACAGACUCUGGACUGUUUCUGUCCUGUAUCUGCUCCUUAUAGAAAAGGCCUGUAAUAGAAGCAGCAGGAUGACUUAAUACAAAGAAUUUUGAAAAAGGAAACUAAGCUGUUCUGUGUUCUCAUUUAUUAGACAGAGAGAGGGAACUGAAGAGUAACCUUUAAGGAACUCAAAUCGCACCUGAAUAAUUUGCAUUUAGAAAGGAUGUUCCUUUCGUGUUCAAUUGGUUUAUUGAAUCCAUGUUAGAUUUCUGUAAAUGCUGCACAGCUUUUGCAUCUCCAGUACUUUGCCUAAAUGAAAGACUAACCUUUGGAAUCUGGCUUGGCUAUAUUACAUUUAUGUUUAGUCUAAUAGAGGUGAUGAAAGUCAUUGAACUGAAUGGCACAAAUUCCCUUGGUCCUUUAGAAGCAGCUUUAACAACAAUCUCGCUUGGAUGUUCAGAGUGACAGGAAUUAACAUCAUUCCUAUACAUAGGAACAUGCUUCUGCUUGAAACAGCCUUCACAAAUUCAUGUUUCAGUAAUCUUCCAUGAGGGCAGUGUAGUGCCAAAGGAGGAAAAGCUGAAUACACUUUUCAUUCCCAGGAGAAAUUAAAAAGAAGGCAAGUGCUUUGAGUGGUU